Molecule: unclassified non-coding RNA, 311 nt
Filed under: rhizosphere metagenome
Description: partial ribosomal RNA internal transcribed spacer region
Source: RNAcentral
GUAGGUGAACCUGCGGAAGGAUCAUUAACACGUUUAUGUUCCAAACGUUUUCUGACCCCUUUCUUUCUGUGAACCAAACCAUUUAACCGGCCGUUCCUUUUUUUCUAAGUUUCCUGAGCAAUUGGGAAGCAGUGAGAGAGGGAAAGCGUCCUUUUUUUGAUUCUCUUCGCAAGAAAGAGGAGAAAUCGGGACGUCAGGUCAACCUCACCCAACCUUAAAUCUAAUUGUUCUGAACUCUUUAGUUGAUGGGGAAACCCGGUCAACGAAUUAAAAACAAACAACAACUCUUAACAACGGAUAUCUUGGUUCUC